UACGUAGGCAGCGAGCGUUGUUCGGAAUUACUGGGCGUAAAGAGUGUGUAGGCGGUGCUCUAAGUUCGGUGUGAAAUCUCCCGGCUUAACUGGGAGGGUGCGCCGGAAACUGGAGUGCUCGAGCGUGGGAGAGGAAAGCGGAAUUCCUGGUGUAGCGGUGAAAUGCGUAGAUAUCAGGAGGAACACCUGCGGUGUAGACGGCUUUCUGGACCAUAGCUGACGCUGAGACACGAAAGCGUGGGGAGCAAACAGG
This 253-nucleotide ribosomal RNA is filed under the name uncultured bacterium. Its description in RNAcentral is "partial 16S ribosomal RNA". It matches the Rfam family "Bacterial small subunit ribosomal RNA", at positions 524 to 776 of the family's 1533-position model. The record is from RNAcentral.